This 70-nucleotide transfer RNA is filed under the name Plectrocnemia sp. 1 YW-2021a. Its description in RNAcentral is "tRNA-Met". The record is from RNAcentral. Lineage: Eukaryota; Metazoa; Arthropoda; Insecta; Trichoptera; Polycentropodidae.
AUAAAAAUAAGCUAAAAUUUCCAAGCUUAUGAACUCAUAUUUCAUAUAUAAAUUUAAUAUUUUUUUUAUA